CGAUCUCAAUGUCAUCUCCCAUGCGACAGGAAGUUCCACAGUCGACGUGGAACAGUAUCGGAAUGGAGUGAAGGUGGCAAGGUCCUUCACUCCAGACUUUGUCCUGGUCCGCCAACACGCUUACAGCAUGGCGAAGGGCGGAGACUUCCGGAAUAUUGUCAUCGGCCUCCAGUACGCUGGCGUGCCAAGCAUAAACUCCCUGCACUCCGUUUACAAUUUCUGUGACAAGCCGUGGGUGUUUGGCCAGUUGGCGAAGAUAUACAAGACACUAGGCCCGACAGAUUUCCCACUCAUCGAGCAAGUAUUUUACCCCAACCACAAGGAGAUG
This is a long non-coding RNA of Rhincodon typus (whale shark), 328 nucleotides long. RefSeq lists it as uncharacterized. The record is from RefSeq and is a predicted model, not a curated record. The transcript has 3 exons. Lineage: Eukaryota; Metazoa; Chordata; Chondrichthyes; Orectolobiformes; Rhincodontidae.